GUAGUGUAAUUGCAGAAUCCGCGAAUCAUCGAGUCUUUGACGCAAGUUGCGCCCGAGGCUUGUCCAAGGGCAUUUCCGCUAGAGCGUCACC
This 91-nucleotide ribosomal RNA is filed under the name Pseudoleskea incurvata. RNAcentral's name for it is "partial 5.8S ribosomal RNA". It matches the Rfam family "5.8S ribosomal RNA", at positions 62 to 154 of the family's 154-position model. From Rfam's summary of the family: 5.8S ribosomal RNA (5.8S rRNA) is a component of the large subunit of the eukaryotic ribosome. The record is from RNAcentral. Lineage: Eukaryota; Viridiplantae; Streptophyta; Bryopsida; Hypnales; Leskeaceae.